RNAcentral lists this ribosomal RNA (434 nucleotides) under uncultured bacterium. RNAcentral describes it as "partial 16S ribosomal RNA". It matches the Rfam family "Bacterial small subunit ribosomal RNA", at positions 29 to 507 of the family's 1533-position model. The record is from RNAcentral.
AGCGAACGCUGGCGGCAGGCCUAACACAUGCAAGUCGAACGAACCUUUCGGGGUUAGUGGCGGACGGGUGAGUAACACGUGGGAACGUGCCUUUAGGUUCGGAAUAACUCAGGGAAACUUGUGCUAAUACCGAAUGUGCCCUUCGGGGGAGAGAUUAAUCGCCUUUAGAGCGGCCCGCGUCUGAUUAGCUAGUUGGUUGAGGUAAUGGCUCACCAAGGCGACGAUCAGUAGCUGGUCUGAGAGGAUGAUCAGCCACAUUGGGACUGAGACACGGCCCAAACUCCUACGGGAGGCAGCAGUGGGGAAUCUUGCGCAAUGGGCGAAAGCCUGACGCAGCCAUGCCGCGUGAAUGAUGAAGGUCUUAGGAUUGUAAAAUUCUUUCACCGGGGACGAUAAUGACGGUACCCGGAGAAGAAGCCCCGGCUAACUUCGUG